GGCGGACCAGGAAAACACUGACCUCACCUACCGGAACUGGGAUUCGCCAGUCCGUGGGAGGGGUGGGCUAAAUCUCAACAUGGGACGCCUAAUGAUGCCAUAUUGAUUGAUUACUGCUUAAACUGAGGUUUACAACCUCUUGAAGAAACGCAACCCUUUGCAAUGAGAAGGGUCACUUAAAAACUCGAGAUACACGCCCAAGUACUCUUAUAUCAAGCGCGAGUAAACGUCAGUUGCUCUAGAAAGUCUGAGCGUCAAGUAUUGCAGAUGGAGGCGUUGCUAAACUGAAUAAUUCAGUAGGAGACUAUUACUACUUAAUUGCUACGGCCGAUGUGUGUUUAUUGACAUAUACAUGUCAUGACUGAUGUGUUACAUCAACAGCAUUAUUUUUUCCUUACGAAGACAUUGCCGUACCACUCGGCGGACAGAUGUAACUUUGGCUCAUAGGUUUACUUCAGGAAUCCUUAUUUUUUUUUAAUUUUCGGUCACCCUUAAUAAAUACUAAUAAUCUUCAAGAAGUAUUGCUAAUCAUAAGUUAUAUGUUUCUGUCAAUUUUUAUGUUAUGGCUACCAAUAGUUUUUUAAACGCAAUCCUAAUUUGGGGAGAUUUCCCCAAAUUAUUACUAUGUGUCUGUAUAUAUUUUAUUUAUUUUUGCUGUGUCACUAAUUCUGGAGGGAAGAAGUGCUGACAUUACUGCAGAUUUCUGAUACGGAUCCCAAUUCUGAUUUGCGGGCAUUGCUGAUGGCAUUUGUAAGAUUGUAAAAGUGAAUGAAUAAAAUACUUAAAUAGAAAA
Molecule: long non-coding RNA, 793 nt
Organism: Protopterus annectens (West African lungfish)
Lineage: Eukaryota; Metazoa; Chordata; Ceratodontiformes; Protopteridae
Exons: 2
Source: RefSeq, a predicted model, not a curated record